Molecule: ribosomal RNA, 465 nt
Filed under: uncultured bacterium
Lineage: Bacteria
Description: partial 16S ribosomal RNA
Rfam family: Bacterial small subunit ribosomal RNA
Source: RNAcentral
GACGAACGCUGGCGUCGUGCUUAACACAUGCAAGUCGAACGGAAAGGCUCUUCUUGCAGGGUCCUCGAGUGGAUAACGGGUGAGUAACACGUGGGUGAUCUUCCCUGCACUUCGGGAUAAGCCUGGGAAACUGGGUCUAAUACCGGAUAGGAGCCAUUUUUAGUGUGAUGGUUGGAAAGUUUUUUCGGUGUAGGAUGAGCUCGCGGCCUAUCAGCUUGUUGGUGGGGUAAUGGCCUACCAAGGCGGCGACGGGUAGCCGGCCUGGGAGGGUGGACGGCCACAUUGGGACUGAGAUACGGCCCAGACUCCUACGGGAGGCAGCAGUGGGGAAUAUUGCACAAUGGGCGCAAGCCUGAUGCAGCGACGCCGCGUGGGGGAUGACGGCCUUCGGGUUGUAAACUCCUUUCGCUAGGGACGAAGCUUUUUGUGACGGUACCUAGAUAAGAAGCACCGGCUAACUACGUG